Long non-coding RNA from Aethalodelphis obliquidens (Pacific white-sided dolphin), 2356 nucleotides. RefSeq lists it as uncharacterized. The transcript has 2 exons. Lineage: Eukaryota; Metazoa; Chordata; Mammalia; Artiodactyla; Delphinidae. The record is from RefSeq and is a predicted model, not a curated record.
AGGGGGAUGGGUGGUGGCAGCGCUGGAGUCCUGCCACCGCCCCUCCACUAGCCACUCCUACCCCUGCCAGCCCCUUGGGAAGAACACUCUGUGUGUCCCGGUCCCCUCAUGCUGGUCCAUCGGGACCUUGUGAGGGUCAGCAGGGGAGGUAACACUACACCUCCCGCUCCAGAGGACCUGCCAGAUGUUGCAACUUGCCAAGGCGUUUCCCUUCUCUUUCUUCAGCCUACUGCCCCCCACCGUAGUCAGACUGGAGGGCUGCAGCAAAGAGGCACUGCAUGAAUGCUUCUGAUACAAAACCACUCCCUGUUUACAUAAGAUCAAACACUUCUUACAUGAGUUCCUCAAAAAACAACUCAAUUAACUUCACUGGUGCAAUUACCUGAGGUGUGACAGGAAGAGUAUUCCCUGAGGCUCGCUUCAGCCCCAGGGAGUUUUAGGUAAUGCUUAGCUGCCUAGAGAAAGGGGAAAACACAACUGCAGCCUUUCAAUGAGGUUCGAAGGAGCCACAGACCACCUGUGAAUCACACAGAAUCUCAGGACCCUCCACUACCUAGACAGUCUCCCCCCUGUACUCCUGGUUAAUAGGUCUUCCAUCUCUCUGAUCCACCCUAACCCCAGACUUUCCAUGUUUCCACAUUUCAUGGGAUUUGUGAAAACACAGAGUCAUCAAUAUCUCUCAGAAUCUUGUUUGCUAAAAAUAUAUAUCAUAAAAUUCUAGGUCCCUCAAUACUUGAAGAAUGAAAUCUGGUUUUUUGCUUGCACAAUAAUUCACUUUUAAUGUGUUGGGUUUUCCAACGGAAGCCUGAAACCUUCGCAUGUGAAGGUACCUUCACAAUGAUGCAAUGGAAGCCAAACAGAACAUAUGCCCUUGAGAGGGUGACCUCGGCCAGCUCAAACAAGGAUCGCAGAACCAGACCCUUGACUAUAAAAAGCAGCACCUUUUUAAAAAAGUAUUUAUCUUGCCAAUAUAAUUUUUUAUUGUGAUAAAAAACACAUAACAUGGAAUCCACCCUAUUCACAACAGUUUAAGUAUGCAGUACCGUAUUUGUUCGCUACACACGCACUGCUGUACAGCAGAUCCCUAGAACUUUCCCAUCUUGCAUGACUGAAACUCUAUACCCGCUGCCCAGCAACUCCCAUUUCCCCUCCCCUAGUCCCUGGCAACCAACAUUCUACUUUUAAAAGCACACCUUUAACUAAACCGAGUCCUGGGUCAGAAAACUCUUAACUUAGAGGUGAUGUUAUAGGGAAGAUCAUUACAGCACGGGAACCACACACGUUAAGAUGCUGAACGCGGCCAGACCUGAAAAGAAGCGAGCCUUCUGUAACACAUCAGUGCUGCUCUAAGCUGGGUUGCUUUCUUUUCAGAGACAACUGUUCAAAACAUGACGAGCUAAAACAGAGCCAACGACUAUCCCAAGGGUUUCAGCAGAAUGAGGUGAAGUCAGAAUAUGGAUCCAAACAGCUGGGCCACUCAUUAAAGCAAAGAGACACUUGAAUUUGCUGCAAAGAUUUCCAGGCUUACCGUUUUGGACUAACUUCAGCACAACGUGAAAUAGUGACGAGAAUAAAUUCAAGUUUAGCAAAAGCUUAAUAGAAAAAGCAAUUGUCCCCAUUUAUGUGUUGAUAAUAGAAUAUUUCUGCCCAAAACUGCUGCCCAUCAAACUGAUUACUGUCAGAUAGCCUCCUCUCUGCUCAGAUAGCACCUCACUUCUAGCUGGAUACUAAAAGCACAAGAGUAUCAGCAAGAAUAAAAUCAGAGUGUAAGAAUAUAACACAAAAGCUUAAAGGCCACCACACCGGAAAAGAAUCAUAUUAAAUUGGAAAGAAAAUAACAACCUUUGCUAGCUACAGAAAAAAUUAAUUUAACUAAGGGUAUCCCACUAGCAUUUAUUCUGAAACAUAAAUAAGCUUUAGUAUUUUACCACCCUGAAUGAUGUAGCAAACCCAAGCUUUUGUUAAACCUAAUAGCUAGGUGGAUUACCCAAUCAAGUCAUUAACUCAGGAUGGCUGGAGGAAUAAAAUCAUUAGGUUAGCACAUGGUAGAUUCAAUGACCUGUAAUCAGCUACUAAGUAAAAUUACGGAAGCAGAAAACAGCUGCAUUUUUGCUACUUUCUUAAAAGAGACAGCUUGUAACAACUUUCACUUCUUGAGCCAUAUUUACUCUAAUUAAUUUAGAAUGCCUGCAGCUCUGACUACCGUUCCCUGGGGUAUAAAAAUGAAGCACUUCUCUAUAUCUAUAAACAGUAUUUUCCCAACUUUGCUUUUUAAGGGAGGAUUAGGUCAUAAAUAGUUCGUCAUUUUUGUAUCUAGAAGCUUGAAUAAAUGGUUAAUUGCUGAUAUAAAUUGCAA